UCUCGAUUGGUCUAGUGGUCAGGAUACCUGCUUGUCAUUCGGUACAAUCCGCAGGUGGCCGGGGUUCGAUUCCCCGAUCGAGAG
Molecule: non-coding RNA, 84 nt
Organism: Camillea tinctor
Lineage: Eukaryota; Fungi; Ascomycota; Sordariomycetes; Xylariales; Graphostromataceae
Source: the annotation of a GenBank genome assembly